GAUGAACGCUGGCGGCGUGCCUAAUACAUGCAAGUCGAGCGAACAGACGAGGAGCUUGCUCCUCUGACGUUAGCGGCGGACGGGUGAGUAACACGUGGAUAACCUACCUAUAAGACUGGGAUAACUUCGGGAAACCGGAGCUAAUACCGGAUAAUAUAUUGAACCGCAUGGUUCAAUAGUGAAAGACGGUUUUGCUGUCACUUAUAGAUGGAUCCGCGCCGCAUUAGCUAGUUGGUAAGGUAACGGCUUACCAAGGCAACGAUGCGUAGCCGACCUGCGAGGUUGAUCGGCCACACUGGAACUGAGACACGGUCCAGACUCCUACGGGAGGCAGCAGUAGGGAAUCUUCCGCAAUGGGCGAAAGCCUGACGGAGCAACGCCGCGUGAGUGAUGAAGGUCUUCGGAUCGUAAAACUCUGUUAUUAGGGAAGAACAAAUGUGUAAGUAACUAUGCACGUCUUGACGGUACCUAAUCAGAAAGCCACGGCUAACUACGUG
Molecule: ribosomal RNA, 497 nt
Filed under: uncultured bacterium
Lineage: Bacteria
Description: partial 16S ribosomal RNA
Rfam family: Bacterial small subunit ribosomal RNA
Source: RNAcentral